This is a long non-coding RNA of Carassius gibelio (silver crucian carp), 3276 nucleotides long. RefSeq lists it as uncharacterized. The record is from RefSeq and is a predicted model, not a curated record. Lineage: Eukaryota; Metazoa; Chordata; Actinopteri; Cypriniformes; Cyprinidae. The transcript has 3 exons.
UUAAAAUUUCUACCUUUAACCUUCGGAGUGAGAAACACAGAGUAGCAGAGAGCAGCAAUGCUUGGCAUCCAACAGACAAAAGGGUGGGACUGGCAGGAAAAACAGCGAUGAAUAAAGCUCAAGUUCUCCUUUAUGAGCCCCUCAUCUAACGACCGCACUCGAUUACAGCAAGGCUCAGAGUUGAGGAACUUUUUACAGGAUUACUGCCAGUUUCCUCCAGCACUCACACACACACACACACACACACACUGCUGGAUGCUGGAGCGUCUCUGUGAGAGCGGAGUGGGCUGAGGCUAUAAUGAGCGGUAUGAAGGGAUGAUGUUGAAGACUGGCUGAGCUCGUCAGGGGUAAACAGUGGGGAGUUUCCUUUAGAUUCUACCAUCCGCUUUUCUGGUUUGUCUCUGUUAGGCAGUCCGUUCUGCUUUGAUCCCGUAGAAGCUAAAAGACGCUAAAAAAAAGCUGAAAAAAUGAGGUAAAGAGGAUCCAGUGUUGAUAAAAGGUUACGACACAGCUGGAGAUGGGGACAUUGAGCUCAGAUUUGCAACUCCUAAACACCUCGCCGGACUCCACGACUGUCCUACUGUCAUGGAUAUUUCAGAAGAGUGAGGAACAUUAAGCCUGGAGAAUCACUGGAGAGUCUGUGAGGCUUCCACAUCACGCCAGACUGCACUUUAUUUUGCAAUAAUUUGAUGCAGUCAGUUCGACCCGUCCUUGUUUAAUGUGGCAUCAACCCUUUACACUUCCCUCCCCACAUAUUGUAAAGCAAAUUACUUAAUUUAGAGAUAUGAGAAAUAUCUGAUAGAGAGAAAAGCCAAAUGGAGGACAUCAUACGAAAUGUAUUUCCAUAAAACAUCCUCCAAAGGCCUUUUCACAUGAUUUCACAAGACUAAUGAUUUUUUAAAAUGAUUUAAUCACUACUUGGGUGGCAAGUACAUGAAUAAAUGAAGAAGGGUUGCAUGCUAAACUGUGAAACCUGAUCAGCCCACACAUGACUGUGAUUCAAAAUGCAUGCACUGCUACACACUUAUUACAACAUAGCCAUGUUUUUCCUGACAUGGUAAUACUUUAGUGUUCUCUAAAGUAUCUCAGAGUACCAUGCAAAUAUGUUUUUUUAGCAAGAGAUAUGUUACUUAACAAUCUUUUCCUCAAUGUACCGAGACUUAGACUCAGAUUUGCAUCUCUUUCUCACCUCUUCUCCACAUCUGCCUCACAAAGACCGCAAAUGAAUCUUCUUGGAUGCAAUAAGCGAUGUUAACUGUUCAUUUCAAAACCCUUAUCUUUCUUGCCGUUUUAGAGAGAAAAUUGCAUCAAGUUUCUUAUCUGGGUGUAGUGGAUAAUUAGGGAAAUACCUAGAGUUAAGCCAAGCAUGGGAGAAGCAGGAGCUGGGGUGGGACGGCGGGGGUUACCGGCUUGUUGUGACUGUGUGGGUUCCUGGCAUGCUGAUUUGUGACUGUAGGGAAAAAUCACAUUGCCAGGGAUUACCACACUGCCAUGGCCUUCCCAGCCGUUCACCAGGAAAUGGACAAAAAAUGGAGGAAAUCAAAUGGAAGAAAUUUGAGGAAAAAGGCACCUGGCAGAAUGAGACAGGGGAACUUCAUUGGGGUUUUUGUACUUCAACAGCAAAACAACUGCAACUGUGCCGUCGCUCUCGGCGGGUGCAGAGCUUAGCUGAUUGGUGAACAUGCACACUUUGUUUUUUUGUUCACAGUGGCUAAGUUCUUCACCUGAAAAGAAACUAAGAAAUUGCAGUUAUUUUCUGUUGGAAUGACCAUGCCGUGUAUUUGUUGUCUAUAAAUGUAUAUACCCCUCGUGAAAAAGAAGCACACUUUAAAAGACUAUACUGAAGUGUGAACUGAAUGUAGUGAUUUCGGACACUUAAUCACAGGUUAACUGCAAAUAAAUCAACAUUUAUUAUAUUUAAAAUGUAUAUUAAAAGCAAUUAGCUGAACUUUAAAGUGCUUUAAGGACUUAUGUAAUUUCACAAUUACUUUGAAAUCGAGUUAAAGUGUACUUCUGAAUUUGACAAGCAGAUAUGCUUUAAUAUAAUUUCUACAGAAAGUUGUUUUUAAAUAUAUUCAUAAUUACACAUUUGUAAUGAUGAAGUUGCAAUUUAGCACAUUAAAAUAUAUUAACCUUAAAUGUAAAAUCAAAUAAGACAGUUAAAUAUAUAAUCAAGUAUUUUACAUGUGCUUUAGCAUGUUAGGCAACACAUCAAAAUAAAUAUACUUUUUUUUAAUUUACAUUAUUGCAGUUAUUAAAAUGUAUUUCUAAAGUGUACGUAAACAUGUUCAUAAAAGUGUACUCUCUUAAUAGUCCUGUUAGUUCAUAGCUAUUUUCUGCAAAAUUUUUAAAAUGUUUACUUCACAAUUUGAAGUAAUCUACAAGUGAUCAUGCUUACUUCUUCUUCUUUUUUUUUCACAAGGGAAGUGUUCCAGUUAUAAUUUUAACGAAAUAUGAAAAUGCUGUCAUCACUUACUCCCUGUUGGGUUAUUUUAAAUCUGUAUGACUUUCUUUGUUUGUGUGGAAAGAUGUUAAUGCCGCUCUUUUCGAUAUUUUCCAUCAGCCAAGCAUAACGACUAACAAACAUAUUAAAUUAAAUAUGAUAAAUGUUCACUGUCAUAAUUAAACACACAUGGGUAAUGAUAAAUCUUGCUUAAAAACAGAGAAAUGUGCCAAAGCUGAAAAAGAACACGGCUCCCAUGUGACUGUGGCUCAAGAUAUCUUUGUGUGAGAAAAAGUUUCAUUCAAAGCAGAUGAUCAUUCUUAAAGGUAAAGCGUGUCAUUUCACUCACUCAGACAAUAGGACAGGAGCUCUUUAACAUCACACAUCGGCUUUAAAGAUGUAAAUGAACAAGAUUCAAAGUGUAAUAAUGUAAUAAAUGGCACAGUAAAAUGAUGAUCUGUGUAGAGUUGUGUGUCUGAUCAGGACCUGAGCUCCGGUGCCUUCUGAGCUGAUAUCAGUUGUAUUGAUUCACUGGCUCAGUUCAGCAGGAACAGGAGUGUGGUCCCAGCACAAAGAACCACACACCUAGAGCUUUCACAGCCCAAAGGAAGACCCUUCUGCAGAACAUACAGACAUUACCAAUAGAAACAAGUCUGUGCUUGAUGUGUGCUUGUCUCCAAAUGAAUGUCCUAAAAUGCCUUGACCUUAAAUGCACCAGGAGGGCUACUUUCCCAGACACAGAUUAAGCAAAAUCCCACAGUAACUUGUGACUUGACUUGGUCACAUCUUAAAGACUUGAGAGCAUUAUUUGAAAAUAAACUAUUUACUUGUUA